GUAUAUGCGCUGCCAGGCACACAGAGACACUGAACUCGCAGCUUGAGACAGAACUGAGCACACUUGUGCAGGGAAAUCCAGGCCUCAUGCCGCUCUCCAGCCUGCUCUGGGUGUUCCUGGCCAUCACCUUCUCUGGAUCCAGUGUGGCCCAGCAAGUAACUCAAGUCCAGACAGCUGUACCCAGUCAAGUGGGGCAGACAGUCACCCUGAAUUGUCGAUAUGAAGUAAGUUGGACCACGCAAUACUACAACAUUUAUUGGUAUAAACAGCUGCCCAGGGGAGAGAUGACUUACCUUAUUCAUCAGUAUUCAGAACACAGUAAUGCAAGGAGCGGCCGCUACUCUGUAAACUUCCAGAAAGCAGAUAAAUCCAUCAGCCUCAUCAUUUCAGCCUUACAGCUGGAAGACUCUGCAAAGUACUUCUGUGCUCUCCGGGAGCUCACAGUGCUUGAAGUAAUGGGAGAAGCUGAACAAAAACCCCAGAGCUUAAUAAGAGAGAGCCCCACUGCUUCAGGACCUCAGUUGAAGUGCACACCUGCAUAUCCCGGAAGAGAUGGCAGUCCUGUGGUUGCUUCAUCUGUGGUCUGGAUCAGAAGAUUUAAUUCUAAAUAAAAGCUCCUUCUAGGUGGAUCACCAGGCUACAGCUGGAACCAGGUGGGCCUGCCCCACAGGAACUGGAGCUGGAAGAAGACAGGGAAUCACUGUGGUUUCUCCCUCUCUUUGGUCCCCCAGUUUCCCACCAGUGCUUUGGGUCCCCCAUUUGAGCAGGAGGCCAGUAGACGCUAGAACUGGGAAAGCACAUCUUACCUCCUGCAACUCCUUUCUGGUGGAUCCACUUCACAGCUCUUGCCUCGCCUUUCACUAAGAGUUUCCUCUGAUUGCCCAGGUUGAUACAGGCUUUCAGCUCUUGC
Bubalus bubalis (water buffalo) is the source of this 910-nucleotide non-coding RNA. The record is from the annotation of a RefSeq genome assembly. Lineage: Eukaryota; Metazoa; Chordata; Mammalia; Artiodactyla; Bovidae.